GACAGAGGAAUCGCAAGCAGUGGAUGGGCAACAGGACCAUGGCUGUCAACAGUGUCGUGCUUUUGGCGCUGCUGAUUUGACUUGCAAAUGUCGCUGGGUAAGGUGGCAGCAAGGUGUUGCCGUGCUACACGUGAUGGUGACCAUCACGAACUGCAAUCUUGGCACCGGCCUAUAUUGCAUCAUCACAAGGACUGAAGCAACUGAGGAUCUCGAUUGGUCCUAGAUUCACAACGCAUUUCUGGUACUCCACUCUCGUUGUACCGUGGGUGCAUAGACGACUGCGAUCCUAAGAUAGGCAAGAUGGAACCAAAUUCCACUGACACUGUCGCCGCCUUCUGCGACGACCCUCGCUGCAACGGGCCUAGCAACGUCACUCCAGGGUCCAUACUUUCAAAACUCGCUAAG
Molecule: long non-coding RNA, 405 nt
Organism: Hyalella azteca
Lineage: Eukaryota; Metazoa; Arthropoda; Malacostraca; Amphipoda; Hyalellidae
Exons: 3
Source: RefSeq, a predicted model, not a curated record